UCGUAACAAGGUUUCCGUAGGUGAACCUGCGGAAGGAUCAUUAGUGAUUGCCUUUAUAGGCUUAUAACUAUAUCCACUUACACCUGUGAACUGUUCUACUACUUGACGCAAGUCGAGUAUUUUUACAAACAAUGUGUAAUGAACGUCGUUUUAUUAUAACAAAAUAAAACUUUCAACAACGGAUCUCUUGGCUCUCGCAUCGAUGAAGAACGCAGCGAAUUGCGAUAAGUAAUGUGAAUUGCAGAAUUCAGUGAAUCAUCGAAUCUUUGAACGCAGCUUGCGCUCUCUGGUAUUCCGGAGAGCAUGCCUGUUUCAGUGUCAUGAAAUCUCAACCACUAGGGUUUCCUAAUGGAUUGGAUUUGGGCGUCUGCGAUUUCUGAUCGCUCGCCUUAAAAGAGUUAGCAAGUUUGACAUUAAUGUCUGGUGUAAUAAGUUUCACUGGGUCCAUUGUGUUGAAGCGUGCUUCUAAUCGUCCGCAAGGACAAUUACUUUGACUCUGGCCUGAAAUCAGGUAGGACUACCCGCUGAACUUAAGCAUAUCAAUAAGCGGAGGAAAAGAAACUAACAAGGAUUCCCCUAGUAACGGCGAGUGAAGCGGGAAGAGCUCAAAUUUGAAAUCUGGCAGUCUUCGAUUGUCCGAGUUGUAAUCUAUAGAGGCGUUUUCCGUGCCGGACCGUGUCCAAGUCUCCUGGA
Molecule: unclassified non-coding RNA, 693 nt
Filed under: Trichosporon asahii
Lineage: Eukaryota; Fungi; Basidiomycota; Tremellomycetes; Trichosporonales; Trichosporonaceae
Description: sequence contains 18S rRNA gene, ITS1, 5.8S rRNA gene, ITS2, 28S rRNA gene
Rfam family: 5.8S ribosomal RNA (bases 168-321)
Source: RNAcentral